ACACGGAGGGCGCAAGCGUUGCUCGGAAUCACUGGGCGUAAAGCGGGUGUAGGCGGUCUAGCAAGUCAGAUAUGAAAGCCCACGGCUCAACCGUGGAAGUGCAUCUGAAACUGCUAGACUUGAGUGCCGGAGAGGGAAGUGGAAUUCCUGGUGUAGGGGUGAAAUCCGUAGAUAUCAGGAGGAACACCGGUGGCGAAGGCGACUUCCUGGACGGCCACUGACGCUGAGACCCGAAAGCGUGGGGAGCAAACAGGAUUAGAAACCCCAGUAGUCC
Molecule: ribosomal RNA, 274 nt
Filed under: uncultured bacterium
Lineage: Bacteria
Description: partial 16S ribosomal RNA
Rfam family: Bacterial small subunit ribosomal RNA
Source: RNAcentral